GAUUCAAUGACGGAGUGGUUAACGUGCCAGGUUUAGGCCCUGGUCUCUUCGGAGGCGUGAGUUCGAACCUCACUUGAAUCA
Cokeromyces recurvatus is the source of this 81-nucleotide non-coding RNA. The record is from the annotation of a RefSeq genome assembly. NCBI's taxonomy places the organism in Eukaryota, Fungi, Mucoromycota, Mucoromycetes, Mucorales, Mucoraceae.